RNAcentral lists this ribosomal RNA (253 nucleotides) under uncultured bacterium. Its description in RNAcentral is "partial 16S ribosomal RNA". It matches the Rfam family "Bacterial small subunit ribosomal RNA", at positions 524 to 776 of the family's 1533-position model. The record is from RNAcentral.
UACGGAGGGGGCUAGCGUUGUUCGGAAUUACUGGGCGUAAAGCGCACGUAGGCGGACUGUUAAGUCGGGGGUGAAAUCCUGGGGCUCAACCUCAGAAUUGCCUCCGAUACUGGCAGUCUCGAGUGCGGGAGAGGUGAGUGGAAUUCCCAGUGUAGAGGUGAAAUUCGUAGAUAUUGGGAAGAACACCAGUGGCGAAGGCGGCUCACUGGCCCGUAACUGACGCUGAGGUGCGAAAGCAUGGGGAGCAAACAGG